UACAGAGGGGGUAAGCGUUGUUCGGAAUUACUGGGCGUAAAGGGCGCGUAGGCGGCCCGCUAAGUCGAACGUGAAAUCCCCGGGCUCAACCCGGGAACUGCGUCCGAUACUGGCAGGCUUGAAUCCGGGAGAGGGAUGUGGAAUUCCAGGUGUAGCGGUGAAAUGCGUAGAUAUUGGGAAGAACACCGGUGGCGCAGGCGACUCGCUGGGCUGUAACUGACGCUGAGGAACGAAAGCUAGGGGAGCAAAUGGG
RNAcentral lists this ribosomal RNA (253 nucleotides) under uncultured bacterium. RNAcentral describes it as "partial 16S ribosomal RNA". It matches the Rfam family "Bacterial small subunit ribosomal RNA", at positions 524 to 776 of the family's 1533-position model. The record is from RNAcentral.